GGCGGGAACGCCUUAGGGCGGAGGUUUGCUACAGGCGACGCUGCCGCCUCGCCGCCGUCACCGGCCGGGACCUUGCGAACUGUACUGAGGAAGUCCAGGUCAAAUAAGGAAGGAGGUAGAGCCCAGGGAUGCAGCUGUCAGACCUUGGAGAAGGAGCACUUGGAGACUAGAGUGCACAAGAUGGCUCAAAAGGGAUUAAGGAUGAAUGGAGAGAUGGGAGAUUUUGACCAGAAACUAAAAUACUGGAGUUUAAAUGGCUCAAGGCAUUCCUUAAUCUACUCAAGGUGACACCUAAGAUUAACCAUCACAGAUGGGGAUGAAGUCUGGAUUAGCGAGG
This is a long non-coding RNA of Pan troglodytes (chimpanzee), 337 nucleotides long. RefSeq lists it as uncharacterized. The transcript has 3 exons. Lineage: Eukaryota; Metazoa; Chordata; Mammalia; Primates; Hominidae. The record is from RefSeq and is a predicted model, not a curated record.